RNAcentral lists this ribosomal RNA (446 nucleotides) under uncultured bacterium. Its description in RNAcentral is "partial 16S ribosomal RNA". It matches the Rfam family "Bacterial small subunit ribosomal RNA", at positions 330 to 793 of the family's 1533-position model. The record is from RNAcentral.
GCCAGACUCCUACGGGAGGCAGCAGUGGGGAAUAUUGCACAAUGGGGGAAACCCUGAUGCAGCGACGCCGCGUGAGCGAUGAAGUAUUUCGGUAUGUAAAGCUCUAUCAGCAGGGAAGAAAAUGACGGUACCUGAAGAAGAAGCCCCGGCUAACUACGUGCCAGCAGCCGCGGUAAUACGUAGGGGGCAAGCGUUAUCCGGAUUUACUGGGUGUAAAGGGGGCGCAGACGGCGAUGCAAGCCAGGAGUGAAAGCCCGGGGCCCAACCCCGGGACUGCUCUUGGAACUGCGUGGCUGGAGUGCAGGAGGGGCAGGCGGAAUUCCUGGUGUAGCGGUGAAAUGCGUAGAUAUUAGGAGGAACACCAGUGGCGAAGGCGGUCUGCUGGACAGCAACUGACGCUGAGGCGCGAAAGCGUGGGGAGCAAACAGGAUUAGAUACCCUAGUAC